GACGAACGCUGGCGGCGUGCUUAACACAUGCAAGUCGAACGAUGAAGCCGGAGCUUGCUCCGGUGGAUUAGUGGCGAACGGGUGAGUAACACGUGAGCAAUCUGCCCUUGACUCUGGGAUAACUGCGGGAAACUGUAGCUAAUACCGGAUACGACACCUUGGGGCAUCCCAGGGUGUGGAAAGAAUUUCGGUCAAGGAUGGGCUCGCGGCCUAUCAGCUAGUUGUGGAGGUAAUGGCUCACCAAGGCGACGACGGGUAGCCGGCCUGAGAGGGUGACCGGCCACACUGGAACUUAGACACGGUCCAGACUCCUACGGGAGGCAGCAGUGGGGAAUAUUGCACAAUGGGCGAAAGCCUGAUGCAGCAACGCCGCGUGAGGGAUGAAGGCCUUCGGGUUGUAAACCUCUUUUAGCAGGGAAGAAGCGAAAGUGACGGUACCUGCAGAAAAAGCACCGGCUAACUACGUGCCAGCCGCCGCCGUAA
Molecule: ribosomal RNA, 483 nt
Filed under: uncultured bacterium
Lineage: Bacteria
Description: partial 16S ribosomal RNA
Rfam family: Bacterial small subunit ribosomal RNA
Source: RNAcentral